GAUCCUGGCUCAGGACGAACGCUGGCGGCGCGCCUAACACAUGCAAGUCGAACGGAGCUAUGUUGAAAGCUUGCUGGAUAUAUAGCUUAGUGGCGGACGGGUGAGUAACACGUGAGCAACCUGCCUUUCAGAGUGGAAUAACGUUUGGAAACGAACGCUAAUACCGCAUAAUGUCAGAGGACGGCAUCUUCUUUUUACCCUAAAGAAUUUAUCGCUGAAAGAUGGGCUCGCGGCCGAUUAGGUAG
RNAcentral lists this ribosomal RNA (245 nucleotides) under uncultured bacterium. RNAcentral's name for it is "partial 16S ribosomal RNA". It matches the Rfam family "Bacterial small subunit ribosomal RNA", at positions 15 to 248 of the family's 1533-position model. The record is from RNAcentral.